UCUAUGGUCAGUGCUGCAGCCAGCUGGUCUUCUAGCUUGAUAUGCUUGCCUCUGUUGUAAUAACAACACUUGUUGGGCUGACAGAGAUGAUGAUGGAACCAGAUAUGUAAGCAGGAUAAAAAAGGUCACACUAGGCCAGUGGAAAACUUAUUCCUUAUUCUUUGUAAUGACAUCUCAUUUACAGAUUGUGCAUACUGCACACUGAGUGAAUUUCAUUGCUGUCUGCAGGGCUUGGAUAUGGUUUACAAAACACUUGAGUUCCUCUUAAUCCUCAGGGUGGCUGUGAGUAGCACACACCUCUCAUGUUACACUUCUGCAUGGGGCGAAUUUUUGAUUCAAGAGAACUAAAGAUUAUUUUGGGGAAGUAAGGGCUUUGUUUUUGAUUCUUUUUCUCAGUCUGAAAAGCCCCUUAUUGAACGAUGUAAUUACAAAGAAUAAAAGUUGCAAAUAAUAUAGCAGGGGAAAGGUUUUAACAUCACGCCUCUGUCCUAUCUGAGUAGAUCACCUCCAUACAUUGUUCAUGAUUGGGCAGUGCGGUUUCUGUUCAGAAAUGUUCCUGCUUAAGUGUGUGCUACAUUCGAUGAUAAUUAACAGAACAUUGUGUCAAAUCAGUGCCUGGCACAGUAUAUUGUUCUGCCUUGCCUACCUGCUACUAAGGGCUCAGCUGAGGACAGUUGUGAUGACUCAGAUCAAGGCUCCCAGGUACACAUGCUGAAGCAGAUAUAUCUCUCCAAAAAUAGUGCCCCAGAAUGCAAAAAGCAAAAAACGAGAAGUAUCUCAGUGAAAAAGCAAAUUAUUUCAUAAUUCUUUCAGACCUCUCCUGUCGUGUUGGUUCACACGAGAGCCUGUUUUAUCCAUUGGGAUAAAUACUGUUUAUGCAGAGGAUGGACACAAGCCUUCCCCACCUCUAAAAUCCUCCGAGACUUACAGAUAGACAGGUCCUACAGUAACUGUCUUCCCACAGGCACGUUUCAUCCUUAAUGCAGAACGAAUUUGGCUCAGCCCUUUGCAGACCUCUGAACUGUCAAAAGUCUGGAAACACGAGACUCUCAGGCCAGAUCUACUGGACAUAUGCAGCUUGCUUGGAGUCCACCCAACUGGUCUGGCAAGUAACUGAAGAACAUGGGCUUCCCAAUCCACAGCUCUGUGUCAGCGCUGCAAUGCUGCCUUGGCUACUUGAAAUUGGACCCCAAGGCUUCCAGGUUACCUGCCAGCAGCCUCACCCUGACAUCUGGAUUGCUUCGAACCUGGUAAUCUAAAGUUUUCCUUGCUCCCCAACUUCCAGGUAAAGCCCAGACAGCCAACUCUACUCAGGAACUGGCUCCGAGGGCCACUUCAGGGAAUGGGGUUAUCUGCUUAAAAUGAGGUCUCUCUGCUGGGAAGAACUUCAAGACUCCCAGAAGUGAAGGGUGAUCAUGCUGUACCACAUUCAUAUUGUUAUUCUAAACGUAUGUGCUACCAAUUGAUAUUAAAAGUAUUACAUAAUGAUGGUAUUAAUGAUAUUGUUCACAAUACCAGUUCUAUUGUGAAUGUGUGAUCCAGGGGAAAUUUUGAUAUUUAUAUAUUUAAUUUCUUCUGUAAAUAUAUCCCUUUUCUCUUGUAGAAUUUCUGACAUCCAAUUAACUUCAGUAGAGAGACAUCUGGGAAAACAGACACCGUGCAUAUGCAGGCCUAAAUUCUGGUAGAUAUAGAGAAAAAAAUAAAAUUAAUCAUGUGCAUGACGAUUCA
This is a long non-coding RNA of Struthio camelus australis, 1728 nucleotides long. The record is from Ensembl. NCBI's taxonomy places the organism in Eukaryota, Metazoa, Chordata, Aves, Struthioniformes, Struthionidae.